This 100-nucleotide ribosomal RNA is filed under the name Brevibacillus laterosporus. Its description in RNAcentral is "partial 16S ribosomal RNA". It matches the Rfam family "Bacterial small subunit ribosomal RNA", at positions 1443 to 1533 of the family's 1533-position model. Lineage: Bacteria; Bacillati; Bacillota; Bacilli; Caryophanales; Paenibacillaceae. The record is from RNAcentral.
AAGGAGCCAGCCGCCGAAGGUGGGGUAGAUAACUGGGGUGAAGUCGUAACAAGGUAUCCGUACCGGAAGGUGCGGAUGGAUCACCUCCUUUCUAUGGAGA